UUAGUAACCCAACUCAAUCAAGAGCCGUUGCAAGUCGGCAUAAAUGGGGAGCACUAA
This 57-nucleotide non-coding RNA is filed under the name unclassified sequences. The record is from RNAcentral.